Molecule: long non-coding RNA, 496 nt
Filed under: Nicotiana benthamiana
Lineage: Eukaryota; Viridiplantae; Streptophyta; Magnoliopsida; Solanales; Solanaceae
Description: long non-coding RNA (NBEN_LNC023876)
Rfam family: MIR6151 microRNA precursor family (bases 250-320)
Source: RNAcentral
UCAUUCGCACAAAACACACGAUACAUACAGACGCGAAGGCCUAAUCCCAAACGACUAUUCACUCUCUUCUUCACCGCAAAGCUGCGUCUAAACUCAUGAAAUUUUGAGCGAGUGAGUCUCAAAUCCCUCCUCACGCGUUCCUCCUUCUCUCCUCAUCACCAUAUCUAACCGUUUCUGACGCGGAUUUUCUCAUUACCUUCACUCGCUCAAUUUGAAGAUAAGGCACGCGAUUGGAAGCUUCUAAGAAGGAUUUGCUGGAUGAGUGUGAGGCGCUGCAUUGAUUUCAUUCAAUCCAAGCCCCACAUUCAUCAGGAAUUCGUUCUCAAGAGGCAUUUUGGAUGGAUUUCGGAAGGGGUCAGUUUUUUUGAGAGGGGUUUUUGGAGAGAUUUUCUGAUGCGGAUUUUCUCAUUACUUUCACUCGCUCGAUUUGGAGAUAAGACACGCGAUUGGAAGCUUCUGAGAAGGAUUUUCUGGAUGAGUGUGAGGCGUUGGAUUG